AUUGAACGCUGGCGGCAUGCCUUACACAUGCAAGUCGAACGGUAACAGGUCUUCGGAUGCUGACGAGUGGCGAACGGGUGAGUAAUACAUCGGAACGUGCCUAGUCGUGGGGGAUAACUACUCGAAAGAGUGGCUAAUACCGCAUGAGAUCUACGGAUGAAAGCAGGGGAUCGCAAGACCUUGCGCUACUAGAGCGGACGAUGGCAGAUUAGGUAGUUGGUGGGAUAAAAGCUUACCAAGCCGACGAUCUGUAGCUGGUCUGAGAGGACGAUCAGCCACACUGGGACUGAGAAACGGCCCAGACUCCUACGGGAGGCAGCAGUGGGGAAUUUUGGACAAUGGGCGCAAGCCUGAUCCAGCAAUGCCGCGUGCAGGAUGAAGGCCUUCGGGUUGUAAACUGCUUUUGUACGGAACGAAAAGCCCCGGGUUAAUACCCUGGGGUCAUGACGGUACCGUAAGAAUAAGCACCGGCUAACUACGUGCCAGCCGCCGCAGUAA
This 498-nucleotide ribosomal RNA is filed under the name uncultured bacterium. RNAcentral describes it as "partial 16S ribosomal RNA". It matches the Rfam family "Bacterial small subunit ribosomal RNA", at positions 30 to 523 of the family's 1533-position model. The record is from RNAcentral.